RNAcentral lists this ribosomal RNA (482 nucleotides) under uncultured bacterium. RNAcentral's name for it is "partial 16S ribosomal RNA". It matches the Rfam family "Bacterial small subunit ribosomal RNA", at positions 30 to 507 of the family's 1533-position model. The record is from RNAcentral.
AUUGAACGCUGGCGGCAUGCCUUACACAUGCAAGUCGAACGGUAACAGGUCUUCGGAUGCUGACGAGUGGCGAACGGGUGAGUAAUACAUCGGAACGUGCCCGAUCGUGGGGGAUAACGAAGCGAAAGCUUUGCUAAUACCGCAUACGAACUACGGAUGAAAGCGGGGGAUCUUCGGACCUCGCGCGGACGGAGCGGCCGAUGGCAGAUUAGGUAGUUGGUGGGAUAAAAGCUUACCAAGCCGACGAUCUGUAGCUGGUCUGAGAGGAUGAUCAGCCACACUGGGACUGAGACACGGCCCAGACUCCUACGGGAGGCAGCAGUGGGGAAUUUUGGACAAUGGGCGCAAGCCUGAUCCAGCCAUGCCGCGUGCAGGAUGAAGGCCUUCGGGUUGUAAACUGCUUUUGUACGGAACGAAAAGGUGCCUUCUAAUAAAGGGCGCUCAUGACGGUACCGUAAGAAUAAGCACCGGCUAACUACGUG